UCUGCAGGUGGUUUCUUAAGUCUACUGUUAAAUCUUGAGGCUCAACCUCAAAUCUGCAGUAGAAACUAGGAGACUUGAGUAUAGUAGGGGUAGAGGGAAUUUCCAGUGGAGCGGUGAAAUGCGUAGAUAUUGGAAAGAACACCAAUGGCGAAGGCACUCUACUGGGCUAUUACUGACACUCAGAGACGAAAGCUAGGGGAGCAAAUG
RNAcentral lists this ribosomal RNA (207 nucleotides) under uncultured bacterium. RNAcentral's name for it is "partial 16S ribosomal RNA". It matches the Rfam family "Bacterial small subunit ribosomal RNA", at positions 568 to 774 of the family's 1533-position model. The record is from RNAcentral.